GAAAGGUGAAAAGGUGUGGAAGACCAGAAAAACCCUUCCUGCUUCCCCUGCUCAAGUUCCUUCAGCAGCUGUUGAAGGGCUGGCCUUUCUUUUAGAGCUGUGCUUUCCUAACGCAUACUGAAGAGGAAGAGAGAGAAAAACAAUAAUCUUUUUUCUUUGUUUGCUGUCCUGAAUUUUAUGGAUUAAGGAACAUACUAUAAAUAUGAUGUGCCCAACAGAGAGAAAACACCUUCUAGCAGCUAUUCUCAGAGACUGAUGUAGUCAAACCUCUUGUUCAGUCUUCUAGGAAAAAAGAAGACAGAGAAAUUCAGUUUUAUCAUUUUUUGCUUGUAGGAGGAAGGAAUGCAGAAAUUUAAAAAAAGACAAGUUAUAAAAAAAGACAAGUUAUAAAAGGGCUCUGCACUGUUUCUGAAGGGCAGUCUCAGCCAAUAGUGUGAUGCACUGACAGGUGUGCUCAGUGGACAUGGAAAAAAGGGAAGAAUAUUCAAUAUUCUUUUCUUUUUCUUCUUUCUGUGUUGUUAAAGGGAGAGCGAGGCAGUCCAGGCCCUGUAGGUGCUCCUGGAGAAAAAGGUGUCAUGGGCUAUCCAGGACCUCCAGGAGGCCCUGGACCUGUGGGGCCAGAAGGAUUACCUGGACCUUCAGGGGCACGAGGACCAUCAGGGCCACAGGGACCUAAGGGAAGAAGAGUAAGUACUAAUGCUUCUUCAUGUUCCUUAGAGCAGAGAGUGGUGUAUUGGAAAUAUGAAUCUGAAAUAUAACCCGCUUACAGCUGCUCCCUUUGUCCUCUGGACUGAACUCAUUUGGACUGAAAUCAGAUAGACUAUACUUGUAUUUCCAUGUAGGAAACAAUAUGAAUCUUCAUUUCUCCUCACAGUGAAAUGGGCUUUAGCAUUGGUCUCAGCUGAGCGCAAAACUAGAACCAAGAUGACCACUCAACUGUUUUCUGUACACAUAAACAUGCAAAAGUUCUCAUUU
Molecule: long non-coding RNA, 975 nt
Filed under: Lonchura striata (white-rumped munia)
Lineage: Eukaryota; Metazoa; Chordata; Aves; Passeriformes; Estrildidae
Description: domestica (Bengalese finch) lncRNA (ENSLSDG00000011355.1)
Source: RNAcentral